GACGAACGCUGGCGGCGUGCCUAAUACAUGCAAGUUGAGCGCUGAAGGUUGGUACUUGUACCCACUGGAUGAGCAGCGAACGGGUGAGUAACGCGUGGGGAAUCUGCCUUUGAGCGGGGGACAACAUUUGGAAACGAAUGCUAAUACCGCAUAAAAACUUUAAACACAAGUUUUAAGUUUGAAAGAUGCAAUUGCAUCACUCAAAGAUGAUCCCGCGUUGUAUUAGCUAGUUGGUGAGGUAAAGGCUCACCAAGGCGAUGAUACAUAGCCGACCUGAGAGGGUGAUCGGCCAAAUUGGGACUGGGACACGGCCCAAACUCCUACGGGAGGCAGCAGGAGGGGAUCUUCGGCAAUGGACGAAAGUCUGAACAAGCAACGCCGCGUGAGUGAAGAAGGUUUUCGGGUCGUAAAACUCUGUUGGUAGAGAAGAACGUUGGUGAGAGUGGAAAGCUCAUCAAGUGACGGUAACUACCCAGAAAGGGACGGCUAACUACGUG
Molecule: ribosomal RNA, 497 nt
Filed under: uncultured bacterium
Lineage: Bacteria
Description: partial 16S ribosomal RNA
Rfam family: Bacterial small subunit ribosomal RNA
Source: RNAcentral